Molecule: ribosomal RNA, 446 nt
Filed under: uncultured bacterium
Lineage: Bacteria
Description: partial 16S ribosomal RNA
Rfam family: Bacterial small subunit ribosomal RNA
Source: RNAcentral
CCUACGAGGGGCAGCAGUCGAGAAUAAUGCACAAUGGGGGAAACCCUGAUGGAGCGACGCCGCGUGGGGGAAUGAAGGUCUGCGGAUGGUAAACCCCUGUCAUGUGGGAGCAAAUGAAAAAGAUAGUACCACAAGAGGAAGAGACGGCUAACUCUGUGCCAGCAGCCGCGGUAAUACAUAGGUCUCAAGCGGUGUUCGGAAUAACUGGGCGUAAAGCUGGCGUAGGCUGUUUCGUAAGUCGUGUGUGAAAGGCGCGGGCUCAACCCGCGGACGGCACAUGAUACUGCGAGACUAGAGUAAUGGAGGGGGAACCGGAAUUCUCGGUGUAGCCGUGAAAUGCGUAGAUAUCGGGAGGAACACUCGUGGCGAAGGCGGGUUCCUGGACAUUAACUGACGCUGAGGCACGAAGGCCAGGGGAGCGAAAGGGAUUAGAUACCCGAGUAGUC